AUUGAACGCUGGCGGCAGGCCUAACACAUGCAAGUCGAGCGGAUGAAGGGAGCUUGCUCCUGGAUUCAGCGGCGGACGGGUGAGUAAUGCCUAGGAAUCUGCCUGGUAGUGGGGGAUAACGUCCGGAAACGGGCGCUAAUACCGCAUACGUCCUGAGGGAGAAAGUGGGGGAUCUUCGGACCUCACGCUAUCAGAUGAGCCUAGGUCGGAUUAGCUAGUUGGUGGGGUAAAGGCCUACCAAGGCGACGAUCCGUAACUGGUCUGAGAGGAUGAUCAGUCACACUGGGACAUAGACACGGGUCCAACACCCACGGGGGGGAAGAGUGGGGAAAUUUUGGCAAAGGGGGGAAACCUUAACCAACCCAUCCCCGGGGGGUGAAAAAGUCUUUUGGUUUGAAAACACUCUUAAUUUGGGGGAAGGGGAGUAAAGUUAAACCUUUCUUUUUUUACGUUUCCAACAAAAAAAAGACCGGCUAACUUCGGU
RNAcentral lists this ribosomal RNA (484 nucleotides) under uncultured bacterium. RNAcentral's name for it is "partial 16S ribosomal RNA". It matches the Rfam family "Bacterial small subunit ribosomal RNA", at positions 30 to 507 of the family's 1533-position model. The record is from RNAcentral.